UGUUCCGUGGGCGGGCUCUUUAUUCCAGGCUCGCAGCGUGUGUCCUGUGCUAUGGAAACUCUAUGUCCUGUGCCUUCGACAACCAUGCGUUCUUACAUAAGGCUAACGACACUAUGCUUCAUAAUGUUGCGUACAGCAACCUUUUUUUUUUUAGUUGAGUCGUCGUUCGACGUGCCGCGAGGGAACUUCGCUCAAAAUUCUCCCCACCGUGAGACUCUCAGUCAUCGUACAGCAAUGGAACAGAUUGCGUGAAGCAUCAGGGGUUGUCCUAACGAGUUCGAACUGAACGACCCGUCUCAGCUACUGCACGUUUGCACGGCGGACGACCUUCGGUGCAAGGAAUGGCUCACCGCGAUACCCAAGCUCUCGCUCAGCGACGCGGCCGUCAGCAGGCUGUGCGUGUGUUCCCUACAGUUCGAACGUUAAGCGGAUGUCAGCGGCGACGCUUUGCCGACCAUCUUUCCGUCUGUGCUACGUCUGGGCGUCAUCAGGUGCGAGCCACAAGAGCAGCAGAGUGAUAUACAAAGCGACGAACGAAGUGUGCUCAGCACUGCGGCAACGGUCAAGCAGGAACCCUUUGAAGAAUGUUGCUCAUGACCAACAGCCACAACAUUGCUUUUAAGUGGCAAUGGGAUUCACCGAAGUGCAGGCGACCGAGGCAGCGCCGACCAACACCGUUGGGCCAUGCGCACGUCGGCUGGCACCACGUCCUCCCAGCCAGAUGGAGUCUCAUCCUCCUAGCCUGACGCCAAACAAGAGAAUGUGAAGCGGUACUACUGCGACCUGUGUUCCUUUUCCGCGAUUUACCCCAACAGACUGCAGCAAGACCUCCUGCACUCACUGCAUGGAUGUAGUCAAGCUGUCGUGCCUCGUGUGCCUGCAGGCGUAUCCAGAUAUAGAAAGCCUGACAAUCACAGCUCGAUGCAUGCCAGAGAGAAGAGGCACAAGUGCACCCUGUGUCCGUACACGUUUGUCUUGGCCAAGAAUUUUCACCAUCACACACACACACACGGGUGUGAACAUUUGCCUGCAGCUUGUGUCCAAACAUGUUCCCAGGGUAGACACCUUGAAGAGGCACAUAAACAUAGUGCACCUUGGUAAAUAUGCUAGGAAAAAAAAAAAAAGAUAAUCGGGUGUAACUCGUAGACUCUUCUACACUCACUCUUCUUGCUGUGAAUCUAAAGAGCAGGGCGUUCAGAAGCUGCUCUUCGAAGGCAGUGACACCAGUCUCACUUGACCUGUUCUGUUAUCACUGCCAUGUUUGGUGUUUAAUGGCGUUCCGAGUCGUACAGUGUGGCUCCAAAGUCUGGCUGAGAAAUCGAUACUAUAAAAUGUGCAAAUGUUGUGGGUAUACGAUACUGGUGUCUAGUGAUCACUAAUUCUUCCAGACUCAUACUCAUUACCAAAAAUAGGCAAGCAAUUACAAUUACUCCAUUUUAAAUGUUGUUGAUUACAGUGGUCACUUACAGCUCCACAAAAGUAACUGAGCUAUUACAAAAAUGUAGUCAAUAAAUCUUGCAUCACUUUCCUUCAAAAUUUUAUUGCCAGAGCACAAUACAAGCUUAUUGUGCCCUCUGUGAUGCAGUGUUACACAUUGCGAACUUUCUACAAAAUUUGUUUCUAAUUGUCGCUGCUGAUGUUUUUAGAGACCGGCUGCUAACGUGAACAUUCUCUCGAUGCAUGCGCUGGAGGGAAGGGUAGUGUGAUAAUGCGGACACACCUUGCAGACCAGCUCGUAGUUGGACAUUGCUUCCGUGAUAGUCGCUGUGUCCUCUAUAAAGCGUCGGGCUCCGCUGUUGGUGGCACUUGUGUAAGGAGCUACAGGUAAUGCCAAGGAAAAGGUGAAAUAUAUGCUUUGUAAAAAACCCCGUUGGCAUGGAUGUGGGGGUGUCUACACAAUGAUUGCAUUGAGACAAGGUGUUUUACUGAUGGCAAUUGAGUCGAUGAAGCGGUUACUUAUUUAACACAAGGUGAACUCGAUCGCAGGUUGGUGAUCAGAGUGCAUCGUCCUUUUUUCAUCGCUCAAGCUCACUGUACACUGCCCUUGUUACAGCAUACUUUUCGGAAGGAGGAAUGCCGUUAAAGACUAGUUGAAAAUUGGUUUUUGCAAAAAAAAAGUAUUCAGUUGAAAGCAAUUAGUUACAAGAUAAUUUAACUUGAUUAUGCUCAACAUACAGUUUUGAUAAAGUAUUAAAAGUUAUUAAAAAGUUACUAAAAAUGUAAUUGAUUACAGGUAACCAAUUGCCUGUAAUGCAUUGUGUACAAUGGUGGAUUCUUCUAACAUCGUCUGUGUAUUUCAUUAUGUUGUUAACCAGUUCCUUUGCUUGCAACUGCCUCCUAAUGAGGCAAGUACCUUAAAUGCCUCAUGAAACACGAAAAUUGUCUUUCGGUGUCGAUACAGGUCAUGCUGGAAACAAUCAUCACAUCAUUGCAUCAUGAUGUUGCAGAUCACGAAAAUUGGUCGGCACGAUGACGCUCUGAUGACGUCACAUUUUGACAUCAUCACGCAUUGUCUCUUGGCCAAGGUGCGAGUCAGCGCUAAACCACAUUAAUUGCAGAAAUGUUUCGAAAGGGAAGGCAGAUACAAAGGCUCAGUAACAUCGACUGACAUUAAAAAAGAAUUUUUCGAGUGGUCUUUGUCGAUUGUGCAAGUGAUUCUGUGAGUUUUGACAUUUCAGUGUGAAUGGUGUUGAGCUCAUCAUUUUGAUCGUUUUCCCGAUGGAAUAGCGAAAGUUUCUGCGAGCCUGUUUUCCAAGUGAUGCAAUGUGGUCUCGUUGGUUACACACCUUACGUAUGUUUUCUUUUUUUUUGUAGCUCAGUUGAAAAAAAAUUGAAAAAUUAAGACAUUCCAGCGUGUCUUUUUUCAUCCUAUGCUUUACUAGCACUACAGAAUAUCUGUUUUUCGCACCCUAUUUUGCUAAAACUGAAAGUGCUGUAGCGUGUGGUUUCUUCGCCGGUGCUCUUCGUGAACAUAUUUUAUUCGCACAGCAGGCGACACGACACGUCACUGUAGCGUUCACUUCUUUUGUUUAUUGUUGAAUUGUGAUUGCUUGUGUUCUUGCAUCACCGUGUCUUGCAAAAAGAAAGAUUUCCUGAUGGGCAAUAAAUGACUUGGCAUUAUUCAACACCUUUGUAGUGAUGUAAGGCAUUCCAGUGCAAUGUACAGUGCGGCAAAUUGUCCCUCCAUGGAAGGAAAAUGUGUGCUGCUCAUUACAAAGCGAAGCUUGCUUGCUUAUGUAGCACAUGCAUCGCGCUAAAGUCAAUAACUAUGAUGGCAUUCUUGAAAAUCAUUUCAUACUGUUUUGAGGCAUGAUGAAUGAAUGAAAAAUAGGGACUAGCGAAGAAUGCACACUGUCAUUUUGGGUGUUGCAUGCACUGUGCUUGUUGACUUGCAUGUGCGUGGUUUGAAGCUCGCAUGAACACACUUCGGGUGUGUUGGGUUGAAACGUUCCAAGAGUGGCACACUUGGAAGUGCCAUAGAAGGUGCUGGUUGUGUUCAUUCAGCUCUGGCAUGAGUUGUAGCUAUUUGCACAUAACCCUUUCUAUAGAAAUAGGCUGUAUUUGAAAAGUGGCAGCAUUUAGAACUAUGGCAAUCGGUGUAUAAAUACUGACAUUGUAGAGAAUGCAUUAAAAAAAAUGUGAAAUCACUGUAAAA
Rhipicephalus microplus (southern cattle tick) is the source of this 3655-nucleotide long non-coding RNA. RefSeq lists it as uncharacterized. The record is from RefSeq and is a predicted model, not a curated record. Lineage: Eukaryota; Metazoa; Arthropoda; Arachnida; Ixodida; Ixodidae.